GAGAACCCGGAUGAGGGCGCCCUGUUGGGGCGUCUUUGAGAAGCGGUGGCGGGUGCUGAGGUGGUGGAUGCGGGCGUGAGCGGGUAGCGGAAGUGUGCGGACGUCCCCUCCUCCCCCGAAGCUGAUCUGCGGAUCUCAUCCCCGGGCCUCGCCCCUCGCCUUCCCCAAACCCCGUCCACUCCCCUUUCAUUGCUCCGGGAGCCGUCGGGGCUGUUUCCCCUUUGGGAACGGAAAGGUACCGCAGAGGCUUAGAGAGGGGAGGAAGGUGACAUCAAUUUGUGCAUCUCCCAGACUAGCACCGAGGCACUGCUUGCCGCUCAGGCCCCGUCGGAUUGCCUGUCCUCCGGCAGCUCAGCGCGAAGGUGUGAACUCAGCUUCCUUCAGAGCCUCCCCGCCAUGACCUCCAAGAAGCUGGUGAACUCAGUGGCAGGCUGUGCCGACGAUGCCCUUGCUGGCCUGGUGGCCUGCAACCCCAGCCUGCAGCUCCUGCAAGGCCACCGAGUGGCCCUCCGUUCUGACCUGGACAGUCUCAAGGGCCGGGUGGCCCUACUGUCGGGUGGGGGCUCUGGCCAUGAGCCUGCCCAUGCCGGUGAGCACCCUGGGCUGGAGGUGGGGGUGGGCUCUGGGCAGAAUGAUCUCUCCUAGGAGAUCUUCGGUGCUGUUAGGAGGUUCAGAACAGAGCCGGGCCCUGGAAACAGCUCUCCCACUCCCUUGAGCUGUGAUCUGGGGCCAGUUAUGCCCUCUCUCUGUGCCUCAGUCUCUACAUCUAUAAAAGCACAAGGUUGGGCCAAAUAGGGAGUUCCCGUUGUGGUGCAAUGGAAACAAAUCUAACUAGUAUCCAUGAGGUUGCAGGUUCGAUCCCUGGCA
RNAcentral lists this long non-coding RNA (867 nucleotides) under Sus scrofa (pig). RNAcentral describes it as "lncRNA (ENSSSCG00060074882.1)". The record is from RNAcentral. Lineage: Eukaryota; Metazoa; Chordata; Mammalia; Artiodactyla; Suidae.